CUACGGGAGGCAGCAGUGGGGAAUAUUGCACAAUGGGCGCAAGCCUGAUGCAGCCAUGCCGCGUGUAUGAAGAAGGCCUUCGGGUUGUAAAGUACUUUCAGCGGGGAGGAAGGCGAUGNGGUUAAUAACCGCGUCGAUUGACGUUACCCGCAGAAGAAGCACCGGCUAAC
Molecule: ribosomal RNA, 170 nt
Filed under: uncultured Escherichia sp.
Lineage: Bacteria; Pseudomonadati; Pseudomonadota; Gammaproteobacteria; Enterobacterales; Enterobacteriaceae
Description: partial 16S ribosomal RNA
Rfam family: Bacterial small subunit ribosomal RNA
Source: RNAcentral